Ricinus communis (castor bean) is the source of this 1049-nucleotide long non-coding RNA. RefSeq lists it as uncharacterized. NCBI's taxonomy places the organism in Eukaryota, Viridiplantae, Streptophyta, Magnoliopsida, Malpighiales, Euphorbiaceae. The transcript is spliced from 4 exons. The record is from RefSeq and is a predicted model, not a curated record.
AUCCAAGCAAUCGGGUUCUUUAGCAUCUAAGAUUUAAGCACAAAAUCCAAAUACAAGCUUUAAUUAGGGAUGCUCCCAUACACAGUACUGCAAACUAUCAAAGAUUUCGAAAACAAUAGAAGGUGCUUCCCUUGUCUAUGAACUCCAAAGCUGUAGGUGGGUCCUUCACUGAAAUUCUGAUAAAGGGUAACGGUUGCAAGGAUAACUGGGCCAAAAAAGGCCAACAUGAACUUUUCGGCCAUUGAAAUCCGUAACUGGCAUAUUUCAGCUCAGAGGAGCCCACAUUCUCACUGAUACGCGCUGGCUUUGGAAGAGGCAAGAAAUAAACAGCAAUCUUCAAAGCCAAAACUUAGCUCUUUCAGACGCCCUUUCUGUCUCAACAGGCUAAAGAUGGAAAAAAGAAGAAGCAUUUCUUGGAUCUUAUUUGUGCAGAUAUAAUUGCGCUAAGAUUGAACAAUGACUUUUCUUAGAUCUCAGUCCACAUUCCUUGAUCUUAUGUUUCUAGAAUUUGAUUAUGCGGGAAAUUUAAUUAACAAACAAAGCAACAUGUGGCUAUUAAAUAAUUGCUUUUCUUGAAUAGUUGACGGUUGUUGGGUUUUGAGGUUACUGAUGCGGCUAAAAGAUGGGUUUCUGAAUUGUGUACUUAGUUUCUUAAUUUUAUGCCUCUGAAUCUGGCUAAAAAAUAUCGAAAAGUGAGUUAUCUUGAUUUUAUGCCUAUUGAUUCCUGGCUAAAAAUAUUGAAACUAAGUCUUUCUUUAAGCCUUGCUAUCUCACUUUUGAUAAUGUGUUCUUUGUGUUGCUAAAAGACUGAAUAACCAGUUCUUUAAGAUCACAGUCUACAUUCCUUGAUUUUAGUGCCUCAGGAGUCCUUAUUACUUUGAAUUUUAAGCGUGAAUUAUGUGGCUUUUCUGAACUGGAGCGACAUGUGGCUAAAAAGUUCUAUAAUUCUACGAUAUGAACAUUUCUUUUAAAUGAAUUUACAUGUUUAUAUGAAAAGUUCUAAAAAUGUAGUUUAUUUUUAACAAAUAAAAAUGUUAUUUGUUCCUUUA